GAGGAGGAAGAGAGGCAGAUUUUAACUCUCAACAAACCUUCAAGAGUUUAAAAUAAUCAUUAAAAUAUUUUUAGCUUUAUGAAUUUAUUCAUGGGUUUGAAACCAUGAAUCGUUCUGGUCAUUAUGAACAAGCAACAAGCAGCAACCUAUACAACUUGAAGCCAAGUUUUAUUUAUGGAUGUACCUGCAGAGGUAAAGAAAUGACUCCAAAAUGUCUCUGAAUCUCUAGUGUAACUUUCCAUUGUCCAUCUGUCCCUUUUUAUAUCCACAAUUUCAAGGUCAAGAUGGCUGGGGUCAACUCAGUCAGCCAUUAGGAGUCAGAGGCUUUGGGUAAGUUGAAACUUUCCAGCAAUUUGUAGCCCCUUUGUGUUCUUACAUGUUGCUUUUUUCCCAUUCCUUCUUCUAUUUUGUAAACACACCAUAUUAUUCCUAAUGUGCGUAAUCUAUUCAAUAAUAAACAUUUAUACAUAUAAUAUGCUUUGCAAUCAGGCAGAUUGAAUAUAUUAAAUUGAAUAUAUGGCACAAACUAAACCUAUUUUAGGUAUCUAGUAUACAAAUUAGCCAGAACUGAGCAUAACUGAUUGCUAGGUGACGGCAAAGGGCUUCCAAUCCUAUCCUCGGUAUGUGUAGAAUAUGGAGCAUUGGUGGUAUACAUACAACACUCUGGCCAUAUCAUGCUUUGGGGCAAUAGUCUAGAAGAGAAUCAGUUUUGUGUGUGUUUUUGUGAAAAUCAUAAAAUCUUUAAUAAACAAGUGGUCCAAUCUCACAUGUGUUUUAAUUUGAUGGUAUAUUAUUUUUGGGAGAUUCUAUAACACAUCCUAUUUCCAUUUGUUUUAGUUGUGAUUGUUGGUUUGGCCAAUUUACUCUCAAAAUAUGAACUUCUUGCUGACAGAUAUUAUUCAUGUAAUGACUUUCCUUACAGUAUGCUAUCAAAGGAAAAUAAAAAAGGCUUUAAAGUCACUGUUAAAGCAGAUCCCUCUAGUGGGUAUGUUCUGAUGCAUGGUCGGUACAAAACAUCCCAUUUAGUAAUUGAAAAUGUCGUAUUGGUACCUUUGUAGUCUGGUGUUUUAACUCUCGGGUCUUUGGACAGUGAGGGGACGUUGGAGAAUUAGGAGAAUGUUGUCCCUUGACAGCUGACGCAGGGUUGAGUUUCUGCUUUGAUAGGAGAUGUAAACAUGCUGUCUGAACAUGCAGAAAACUACAUCCCCACAGACUGAAUCAGGUUUGUGUUUUAAAGUUCUCUAAGAAAGCAUACAAUAAACAGUUCACAACUACAGCAUCCCCCCAACUAAACUGGAGCAAUAUUAUAGUUCUGUAUGCUACAUGGUUCUCCAUCUAUCCACAAUCCAUCCUUGUCCUUCCUAAUCUAAUGCUUUUGUCUCCUUUGUUUUUUUCCUCUUUCCAUUUUUCCUGUUCUCCUUCUUUUUUGCCCAUCUCUGUCCCCCACUUCCCUCACUCCCUCUUGUCUCCGUCUUUGGUGUGGUAAUGAACCUGUGGUUUGAACCAGUAGCGACUGGUUUGGGGAUGAGCUCAUGAGAGCGCUUCUUGUUUUUCACUGCGCAGGCCCACUUGGACUGAAAGGGUAGAUCAGCAGAGGUCACUUCAUCGGCAAGCUAAUACAUAGAACCCACAGAGACACAGGUUUUCUUCUCAGUUGGUGAAUCCAAUCUGUUACAAACCUUUGCUCCGAACAUGAGACAGAAACAUUACAUUCUUUGUUCCAUAACAUCUGGUUUGCUGUACAGAGCUGUAGGAAAUCAGAGGGAUCCACAGAAGAUGAUGAGCAGCAGCUCCAGGGGACAGACACUUUGUGGAGUCUGGAACACACCUGUUGCUGGAGCUUAAGGACUCGUGGAUGUGGACUCACUCUCCUGGAAACUCUCACCCGAAGUUCAACAGUCCUCCGUCCUGCCACUCUCACUCUCCCUCUUGGACCUGGGACACAAACCUACCUCGAAGACGGAGUCACUUUCCUCCUGGAUAUCCUUUGCCUCCUCCUCCGAAGCUUACCUCUCUCCCAAGAGCCUGGAAGAAUGACAAAUACAUUCCCCUCUUCAUUCUCACCCAUUCUCCUGUGGAUUACUCAAGUAACGUCUUCCUAUUCCUUACAGGACGA
Girardinichthys multiradiatus is the source of this 2116-nucleotide long non-coding RNA. RefSeq lists it as uncharacterized. NCBI's taxonomy places the organism in Eukaryota, Metazoa, Chordata, Actinopteri, Cyprinodontiformes, Goodeidae. The transcript is spliced from 3 exons. The record is from RefSeq and is a predicted model, not a curated record.